Molecule: transfer RNA, 65 nt
Filed under: Sicyonia parajaponica
Lineage: Eukaryota; Metazoa; Arthropoda; Malacostraca; Decapoda; Sicyoniidae
Description: tRNA-Leu
Source: RNAcentral
UCUAAAAUGGCAGAUAGAUGCAUAGGAUUUAAGCUCCUACCAGGAAGAUUUACCUUCUUUUAGAA